CCUCCGUGGCGCAAUUGGCUAGCGCGUUCGGCUGUUAGUACUCUCACGAGUAAGCAACCGGGAGGCUGGUGGUUCGAGCCCACCCGGUAAGUG
Molecule: transfer RNA, 93 nt
Filed under: Zasmidium cellare ATCC 36951
Lineage: Eukaryota; Fungi; Ascomycota; Dothideomycetes; Mycosphaerellales; Mycosphaerellaceae
Description: tRNA-Asn
Source: RNAcentral